This 496-nucleotide ribosomal RNA is filed under the name uncultured bacterium. RNAcentral describes it as "partial 16S ribosomal RNA". It matches the Rfam family "Bacterial small subunit ribosomal RNA", at positions 29 to 507 of the family's 1533-position model. The record is from RNAcentral.
AUGAACGCUGGCGGCGUGCCUAAUACAUGCAAGUCGAGCGAACGGACGAGAAGCUUGCUUCUCUGAUGUUAGCGGCGGACGGGUGAGUAGCACGUGGAUAACCUACCUAUAAGACUGGGAUAACUUCGGGAAACCGGAGCUAAUACCGGAUGAUAUUUUGAACCGCAUGGUUCAAAAGUGAAAGACGGUCUUGCUGUCACUUAUAGAUGGAUCCGCGCUGCAUUAGCUAGUUGGUAAGGUAACGGCUUACCAAGGCAACGAUGCAUAGCCGACCUGAGAGGGUGAUCGGCCACACUGGAACUGAGACACGGUCCAGACUCCUACGGGAGGCAGCAGUAGGGAAUCUUCCGCAAUGGGCGAAAGCCUGACGGAGCAACGCCGCGUGAGUGAUGAAGGUCUUCGGAUCGUAAAACUCUGUUAUUAGGGAAGAACAUAUGUGUAAGUAACUGUGCACAUCUUGACGGUACCUAAUCAGAAAGCCACGGCUAACUACGUG